UAGGUAGGUGGUCUCAUUUGUCUGAGGUGAAAUCCUUGGGCUUAACUCAAGAAGUGCCUCAGAAACGGUGAGACUAGAGUUCUGGAGGGGGUCGUGGAAUUCCCGGUGUAGCGGUGAAAUGCGUAGAGAUCGGGAGGAACACCAGAGGCGAAGGCGGCGACCUGGACAGACACUGACACUCAACUACGAAAGCGUGGGGAGCAAACAGGAUUAGAUACCCUGGUAGUCCACGCUGUAAACGAUGGGUACUAGGUUUGGUGGGAUUUGACCCCUGCCGAACCGGCGCUAACGCACUAAGUACCCCGCCUGGGAAGUACGGUCGCAAGACUAAA
RNAcentral lists this ribosomal RNA (332 nucleotides) under uncultured bacterium. Its description in RNAcentral is "bacterial SSU rRNA". It matches the Rfam family "Bacterial small subunit ribosomal RNA", at positions 568 to 898 of the family's 1533-position model. The record is from RNAcentral.